CUCUGGUGUUCGGGUUGUGUCGCCAGACGCAUUGCCCGGUAGCUAAGUUCGGAAUCGAUAACCGCUGAAAGCAUCUAAGCGGGAAGCGAGCCCUGAGAUGAGUCUUCCCUGAUACUUUAAGUAUCCUGAAGGGUUGUUCGAGACUAGAACGUUGAUAGGCAGGGUGUGUAAGCGCUGUGAGGCGUUGAGCUAACCUGUACUAAUUGCCCGUGAGGCUUAACCAUACAACACCCAAAGGGUUUUG
This 244-nucleotide ribosomal RNA is filed under the name Vibrio vulnificus. RNAcentral's name for it is "partial 23S ribosomal RNA". It matches the Rfam family "Bacterial large subunit ribosomal RNA", at positions 2707 to 2925 of the family's 2925-position model. Lineage: Bacteria; Pseudomonadati; Pseudomonadota; Gammaproteobacteria; Vibrionales; Vibrionaceae. The record is from RNAcentral.